UGAAGGUCAGAGAAUUUGAACCUUCUUAUCCAGAAGGCCAUGAGAUUAUGUGGGUCAGAAGCAGCUCACCUACCACCUAAGCUACUGUAGGUGACUGGGUAAGCUGUGCAGACCAAUGUCUGGAGGAGGUGAUUCUAAGCCUACCUGCUCCUCUCAGCUCACCGACCCGACCAGCUUCAUGUGCUGCCAGAUCUUCCUCGAAUGAGGUACCAGUCGAGGUUG
RNAcentral lists this long non-coding RNA (222 nucleotides) under Elaeis guineensis (African oil palm). Its description in RNAcentral is "long non-coding RNA (EGUI_LNC069383)". Lineage: Eukaryota; Viridiplantae; Streptophyta; Magnoliopsida; Arecales; Arecaceae. The record is from RNAcentral.